AAUAACCUCCCCCCUCCCAACCCAAUUCCCCAUUCAGCUGCGUGAGCUAACCCCACGCCUCCCACUCCCAGUCUCCCAGCGUGACCUAACCCCAUUCAGCGGGACCGUUCCCCCUUACCCCAAUCGGAAGUGAAACCUGGCGAUCUCCUCUCACAGUCGCGCUCUCCCCUCAGGCCCUCACAGUCUGCACCGUUCCCCCCUCGAAAGUGAAACCUCAUUCUUGAGUCUCGAGGCCGGCGGCGAACUCACGUUGCAGCACCUCCCAGCGCCGCGAGAGACCCUUCCUCCCAACGCCGCCGAACCUCUUCGCGGACAGAGCACCACGAAGACCCAGCCCCAGCACCACCCUCGCACCCAGGCGUAGCAGUGUUUCUGGCCACCCAGGCACCGACAACACAGCACUUCUCAAUCUCCCACCCACAACACAGCAGCCACCGGUUGGUCCUCUUCCAGUGCUCUUCCUCCUUCCCAUCCACUUGACUUCAGGAUAUAAGAAGAGAACUUGGAAUCAAUAUAAUUGAUGAACAAAAGGUGCAAUUGUCUAAGAAAGUCGACAUGGGGACUAUUGAAUGAAUUUUUGGCAAAGUGUGGAAGGAACUGGACAGAGAUAAGGGAAAGAAGAGGGUGGGAAUGCCACGAAAAAACCAACAGCUGUAAUUAUGCGGGACUCUGAUAUUCUGUUGAUACAUGGCCGUUUUAUCGGCGAUAUUGCACCAUUAUGGGGAAAGCGUGAGGCGGUGGUGGAACCCUACUCUGCCCAUGCGUGCCAGUGUUAUAUGCCAUGGAAGACCUCUGGCAACAGGCUUGAAAACUUUCUUAAAGAAGUGAGCCAGCAUCACCAAAUUGUGGUGCUAAAGAGAAUGAAGGGUGCCCUGACUCAGAACAAUGAUCUCGACGAGGAUGUAGCAGAAGAGUACAGGGUUUACGCGGCGACGAGGAGGAGGAUGCGACAACCAGGUGGUGCCGUGGUGAUUGACAAUGAUGCCACUGCUGACACCAAGAUCCUCCAACUAUGGUAAUAACUGAAAUACGACUCUAGUAAUCUUUCUUUCUGUCCUAAAAUUUUCUUCGGGUUAAUAUAGCUCCUAAUUUUCAUUGAUUGUCUCUGAUUUGAUUUUCAUCCUAUAGUUUAUUAUUUACCUUAUUGUAUGAAAUCAAUUUGACUAGUUUCUGCAAGCAUUCAAGGCUGUGGCCGUAGCUAAUUUUCCUUUGUAACUAGAACUCUACCAAAUGAAUUUUUUGGACAAAUUAGCACAAAUUCAUAUUCUUUG
This is a non-coding RNA of Arachis ipaensis, 1271 nucleotides long. Lineage: Eukaryota; Viridiplantae; Streptophyta; Magnoliopsida; Fabales; Fabaceae. The record is from RefSeq and is a predicted model, not a curated record.